The submitters of this non-coding RNA (128 nucleotides) gave its source as unclassified sequences. The record is from Rfam.
UUUAAAUACCAGAAGGUUUUAUCCUUCGUUCGGUCGAUAGCUAGAUAAUGAUUGAAAAAUUAAGCGUAUGUUAAGUACGUCAUUCUAGCUGGGAAGAGGCUACUUUAGUAACCUCUUUUCAUUUAGGU